UACAGAGGUCCCAAGCGUUGUUCGGAUUCACUGGGCGUAAAGUGUGCGCAGGCGGCAGAGCAAGUCGAGUGUGAAAGCCCCGGGCUUAACUUGGGAAUUGCGCUCGAAACUACUUUGCUGGAGUGUGGCAGAGGAAGGUGGAAUUCCACGUGUAGCGGUGAAAUGCGUAGAGAUGUGGAGGAACACCAAUGGCGAAGGCAGCCUUCUGGGCCAACACUGACGCUCAUGCACGAAAGCGUGGGGAGCAAACAGG
Molecule: ribosomal RNA, 253 nt
Filed under: uncultured bacterium
Lineage: Bacteria
Description: partial 16S ribosomal RNA
Rfam family: Bacterial small subunit ribosomal RNA
Source: RNAcentral